CCGGCGACCGGCGCACGGGUGAGUAACACGUAUGGAACCUGCCCGCAGCAGGGGGAUAAGCGGAAGAAAUUCCGUCUAAUACCGCGUAACACCGCGGAGGGGCAUCCCUCGGCGGUUAAAGAUUCAUCGGCUGCGGAUGGCCAUGCGGCGCAUUAGCCAGUCGGCGGGGUAACGGCCCACCGAGGCGACGAUGCGUAGGGGUUCUGAGAGGAAGGUCCCCCACACUGGUACUGAGACACGGACCAGACUCCUACGGAAGGCAGCAG
RNAcentral lists this ribosomal RNA (266 nucleotides) under uncultured bacterium. RNAcentral describes it as "partial 16S ribosomal RNA". It matches the Rfam family "Bacterial small subunit ribosomal RNA", at positions 88 to 354 of the family's 1533-position model. The record is from RNAcentral.